UUUUUUUUUUUUUUUUUUUUUUGGGUUUGGGAUUAUUUAUACGACCCAUGAAUUUCUUUUAGGCUUUGAGUUCGAGCAAGUUAACUUUACAGAAAUCCAGCUUGAAUUUCAACAAAACUUGGAGCCAUGCAUGAACGUGACUAUAGAUGCCCGAAGUCAUGGUUUCAAGCGAUCAAAAGUGUUCCAAUCUGAUGGUUGUAAUCUAAAACGAGUCCUGUCAACAAUCCAGCUUCAACCAAUAAAUUAUCAGUAGUGGCAUCUUCUUCAAGUAGUACAUGUGAAAGAAUUUAAACCAGUGGGGAAACACACAAAUAUCAUCUACUGUUCACCAUUUAUUUUAUUAGUCAAGCAUGCGUUUUAACUAUCCACCAAAACGAAUUUCAGAUGUAGAAAGAGGACACCUUCUUGUUUAUGUGACAGAUGAAGAAGCAUUAAUAUCUCACCCUUGCAUCUCAAUCGUCCAGUGUCAUCUGAACUUCAAAAAUUAGUAGGAGGAAAGAAAUUUUAGAUCAAUAUCACGGUUCCCAAGAUUCAUAGGAUUUUUUUUUUUGGGGGGGGGGGGGGGCAGUCUUCUUGGGUUUUCUGCCACUCAUUUGACUAUUCUUUUCCCGCCUUGUAUUUGUGUGGAGGAGCAUCUGUAUCAAACUACACCCAUGUACACAAAAUUAUAAUAGUAUCUGGCAAAAAAGGAAAUGCUAAAGGAGAAACAGACGAAGGGCAUUGAAUGCUGAAGUGUAAUGAAUGGUGAGUCGAGGGGUAAAGAAUAGGUGGUCCUAACUCCUACGCUUCGUGAUGGCUAAUGAGUUCGAAUCAAGUUUCAACUACUUCUACUACAUUAUCACACUCUUUUUUUUUUUAAUCUAACAUCAACGCUCUACUCUACUCUUAUGUUAUGUUAUGGGGAAGGGAGAGCUCUAUUGAGCUUGUAUGGUGGGGGGUUGAAGGUGAAUUUUUACAUUAGAUAAUAAGUGUAUUACUGCACCCUUUAAUACACCAAACGAGAUUUGAAGGCCCGACUUGAUGCACCAGACGGCAGGCAUUAUCACAGCACACCAUUUAGUCUUCUUACGAGGGUAAAGAUAUUAAGGCUGGUGAGUCUUUGCAGAUUGCCUCUUAGGGAUCGAGCGUCCCCUUUUAUUUGGCCAGAGAGAGAGAGAGAGAGGAAGAGACGAUGGAAGUUUUUGAUGAUUUCAGGGCAGUAGUACUGGCGAUGCUGAGGUGCUGUGAGAUGUCCCAAAUCUGUGAAAGUUGGCAGCUAUCUUGGAAGCAUGUCUGCUUCCAGGACAGAGAUUUUUGGGUAUCUUUUGACAGAAUAUAGGUCCAAUCUAUACGGGUGACCACUUUUUGAUGGGUCCAAGUCCAAUGCCCCUCCAAUUCUCAUCGCUUAUAGUAUAUGAUGCUUCAAGAAUUAAUCACCUUCACUAAUCUCAAUACAUGUCAUGAUGCAAAGCACAUCGGUUGGAGGGCUAAACUUUUGCUUUGUCCAACAAGUUAUUGUGGUUUCAAGUUAUGAAUUCCAGGUCCCCAUUUCCUUUAACUGCUAUUUGGGCCACAAGAGAAGGAGACCACGCCCAUAAAGCAUCCAUGAACGGAAGCAAAAAGAAUGAGUUCGCAUGAUAGAGACGACAAUGUAUGUCCUCCUCCUAAUCCUAUCAUCGUUUGAUUUAUGAAAUUUCAAUUCCUUACUCCUUCAGGGAACAGUUUCACCAAAUCUGUUUCCUUUAGGCUUUUGGACGGGGCACUAUCAAGUUAAAUCAGGAUUCAGGUAUCUCUGCGUGUGUGUGUAGUCCUGACUCCAAUUAUGAUUCAAGAUAAAUAAGCAAACGGAUGUAGUCCUGACUCCAAUUAUCCGCAUGCUGAACCUUAAAUUCGGCAUUCCCAAUUCUAAGGACAUAGGCAUGAAUCUGCAUUUUUUAUUCUUUAUUUUUAUUUUCGAGUUAAAAUCCAAUCUCAGUCCACGGGACCACGAGUUCCCCAGUUCAAGUUGAAUUCUCGCAAAACUACCAUGGCAUAUUCUUCAUUCCGCAGAAAAAUCUACGCGUCGCCAUAAUUAUAUCUCGUGACAUUUAAUUGCAAGCGAUGAUAUUGCCUGUUCAGUUAUUCUUCAACGGCUGUCCAUCUCCUCGGUAGUUUACAGGAACGAGAAACAAAAUAGAGAGCAAAUAUCAAUUGCUCUGUUGUUGUACAAAUUAUCGUACUUGGAAAAAGUUUAAAAAAAAUAGAGCAACAAUGAAAAGGAAAUUGGGGAAUGGCAAAACAGGUCGUCGCAUUCUAGGUUGGUGAUAGCAUUUUGCAGCAAAGAAAUUCAUGGAAUAUCAGAGAAACUGUGGAAGGACGCACUGCAGCGCAAAAUCACUAAAUGAAAUUACAACUUUAACAUUCUACAGUCUAGACAAACAACUUCAGACGGUGAACAUCAUAAAGCUUAGAGGUACCCCCUGGGUGCUGCGCUCAUAACUACAGAAAUUUGAUGACUGAUGAAGGAUCAUCGACUUUCUGGUGCAUUAAUUGAUAAAUGACAAAAUUAAACAACAGAAUUUACAAAACUAAGUUGGUCGGUCCUCCAUGUAACACAACGAUCAGCCGCCCCGCAUAUGUGCAUCCAAUUCCAAAAACUGCUCAUCAGCCUCCACAGUGUCCUCCGACAAGCGAACUGCAUCCAGCUUUUGCUUCAGAAUGUCGAUAGCAUUAAGAACCAGCUGAGAAGCUUUAAUUGCACCAGUGGACUCAACUGUGAAAAUGAAACUGUCUUCCUUGGGAUGUACCUCUACAAGCCCCGGCGCAUUCAAGGAUUCACAUUUCUUGAUCACCUCAUCAUCAUAGGUAUAUGCCUCUGGAUCAACCACAACAACCUACGGAAACAUGGAGGAGGGGUUAAGAUAAAAAAACAACUGUAAGAGAAACUUACAAUAGAUUAUAUCAAAGUACAAUCAUCCAAGCAUGUAUAAACAAACCAAAAUGCGCAUAGCCCUUUGCUACAAGACAUGGACUGAUAUUCCUUUCUUCGGGCCAGUCAGUUAAGUCAAUCUUAUGCAGGUGCUCGGAUGAAGUUUUAAACAACCAUUAUAGGGCUUUUAAACCACUUCAAUGCAAAUUUUUUCUCUGCACUGGCACUUAAUAAUAAUCAAACCAAACGUACAUGACCAAAGAAAACAGCUGUUAGAGAAACUUACAAUAGAUGCAUGUCAAAGUACAAUCAUACAAGCAUGUAUAAACAUUUGCUCAUGCAAACAAACCAAAAUGAGCAUAGCCUGUUGUGACAACAUGUGGACUGAUUUCAUUUCUUCAGUUCAGUCAAGAUUCUCAGAUGAAGUUUUAAGCAACCGCUAUAGGCUUUUAAACCACUUCAAUGCAAAAUUUUCCUCUGCACUAAAAUUUAAUGCAUUGCCACAAAAGAAAACAUACAAGAAUGUAAACCUACUAGUAGAAAACAUUCAAGAGAAAAUACUAGUAAGGACUUCUCCAACCUAAGAAUAAAAUCCUUUGUCUUUCUCUAUAGUAGAAAGAAACAUAUUCCAAUAAAGUAAACCCCAAACCUCGAAGUAUGUCAACCAAUUCCAUGCCAGGGGAAAAAAGGAGUUCCCCAAGAAAAUAUUAUAUAAAGAAACAACAGGAGAAUAGCUAUUAGAAAGCAAACAGAUUCCUAGAUUUUCAAAAACAAAAAUCUUGUGCCAAAGAGGAUGAUGAUCAGAUGGUUGCAGGAAUGGAAACUGAGAUGGAUAGCUUCUAGCAGUUGUCUAAGUUUGAAAGGUAUCAGGAGUUUCUAGUAGUUGUCUAGAUCUGAAAGGUAUUAAAAGCUAAAAAGACUCUGAAAAUGGAUCACAGGGAGAUUUAUAAAUAUUUCAUACAAUAGACGUAUAAUCCAGAAAUUCCCUUCUUCCAAAUUCCCCGAAUUCUAUGUCAGAGAACCAUGGAGAAGAAAGAAGGGGGUUUUGGAAGAGAGGGGGGGGGGAGAACAUAAGAGUCACCAUGGAAGACCACUUAUCAGACAUUAAGUAGAUAAUUUUGGAUCCCCGAACACAGUGAAAAUGAUUCAACUAAUACGCAUGUAGGAGGUAAAGCAAAGGGAACCUACCCGUCCAGUUUUGGCAUCAAUGUCAAAGACUUUGGUAGGACUGCUUUCAACCACACUCAUUCUCUGCUCAAGUGUUAAUUUCUCCAUCAUAUCUUCAUUGAUAUAAAUCUCAGGUUCAUACAUGAAUGUAACAGUUGCUGCAGGUGACCAUUUGGCAUGAUCCUUGCCAAUACCUUUCCGAGCUAUAGCUCUCAGCCUCAACUCUUGCCCCCGGCGUAGUUUCACUAUCAUAAUUCCCCUGUAAACAAUUUAUUCAGUAAAUAUUAUAACAGCUUCAACACUAGAGAUCAAACUAAAACUCUGAUUCCAGAUCCUUUUCAGCAAGAUUUCCCACAAUGUUAGACCCACCAUGCAAAUUACCACCACAAAAUGUGAUUUAAGAACAUAACGGAGAAGUUAAAGUAUGACAAUACCACAUAACCAGAUGUCAUCACAAAAAAAAAACAUAAACUAAAUAAAAUGAUAAAUAUCAAAGAAUCAACAGGGUUGCAAAUGUGUACCAGGAAGCAUUAGACCAACCAAAAUAUUCAAGUUCUAAAACAACCUUACAAAGCCACAUGCACAAAGCCAGGGCUGCAAACGUGUACAAGGAAGCGUUAGACCAACUGACAUAUCCAAUGCAGAAAGCCGCAUGCAUACAAAUACCAAGUGUGAUGCAUCUGUACCAAGAAGAACUGAAAUAACCCUUAGGGGUUCCAGUGUCCAUCAUGAACUGAAAAGGUACUGUGCAAAUGUAAAAAUCACACCUUAUGCACAAAUUGAAUUGAUUCACAUGAAGCAAAUGAUGCAAAUUAGGCCUCAAACUCGAAAAAACCCAUCUCUGAAAAGGUACUGUACAAAUGUAAAAUUAAACCUUUCCUCUCCUUCCUUCCAGAAAAAAGAAACCACUGCUAACAUCAUUCUCAUCUCAAGGGAAACAAUAUCUAUCAGGCCUACUGGUCCUGGAUCUCGUUCAAGAUUAAAAAUGCAUUCAUAUCCUCAUAAGGGAGUAUUCUGAAUGCAUUUCUUCAUACUUCCGCACUUGGCAACUCCAGCAACAAUCAUACACCAACAACAUCACACGUUGCAAAAUGAUACAUUUCAUUCAGAUUGAACUUGCGAUUCAAGGAAUACCAUUGCACGCAAUCUAUAAAAAUCAACUAUCAAAUUCAUAACACCCAUAUAUCACCACUAAUUCAAAUGCAUAAAUUUCGGACAACAUUAAAACCCAAACAAUCAAAAGAAAUCAAUAGCCACAAUAUAUACAGAAAAAAGCCCCUUCGUCUAACAUAAUCGACAAUUGUCCUAAAUUUGAAUUAUCCACAUUAACAUCUCCGUACAGAGUUGAAAAAGUAAAAUAUCCCAAAAAAUAAAUAACAAUAAUAAUAAGGGAUAUCGUUUGUAAUGUACGUGUUUGCUAGGGUUACUGGACCUGUUCUCGGCAUUAUCAUAUUCUGAGGAUGGACUGGCGAAAUCAACGGGGACAACAGAUGGAUCAGAGCUGAUGAGCUCCCUGCUGGUGACAUCUAGGGUUUGAUCAUUGAGGCAUUUGGCUCUCAGAUGAAACUCGACGGAGCAAUACUCGCACUGGCCGUCGCCAUCACAGGCAUCGCAGUCACGUGAGAAGCGCAUGCUCAUGGCUCGCUCGCUGGUGAGUGGAAUCAGACCGAGUCGGUGAGCUAUGAACUCGUCGUUCAAGACGGAAGAGUUCACCUCGAUCUCCACUAGGUCAAUGGCGAUAGUGGGAACCUCAGCUAUCAUUACGCGCCGCAGCGCGUUGGCUAUGCUGGCAUCAGUGUCGCGGAGCUCGAACUUGGCGUAGUCGUUCUUCAGCUCGCGAAUCUUCACUGUCGGAAACCUCUGGUACGAUCUGCCUUCCAUUCUCAAUUCCCCGAGGGAGAGUUUGGGGGGGGCGGGGGUUUUGGAAGAAGAAGGGCGCUUUACUGCAAAACCCUCUUGAGGACCGGAAGGACUGACUAGCGGAAAGCGGGGUGGGGCAACUAUUUAGUCGGGGCAAUUUUCACUACAUCUCCCUGGAAUUCAGUUGGAUUCCACUUUGGCCCCAAAGUUUUUCUUUCUUUGUCCCCCAAGACCUCUUUAAUUAAUUCUAUGGAUUUUCAUUUUUGACAUAAAUAAUGUACUAACAUCAUACUAUUAUACUUUUUAAAAAAAAAAAAAUUAAAUACUUUUUCAAAAAAAAUUUAAAAAGAAAAACAAAUACUAAACUGUACAUCUAAAAAAGCAAGCUUCAAUAAUGAAUUAAUCUGUCGUUUUCAAUUGGUAGUGUUUUCUCUUGUGGUUCAGUAAAUGAUUCAAGUUUAUUGAACUUGGGAGAGAAAAGAUUAUAAAAUGUAAAAUAGGAAUAAAAAAGCAAAAUUAAGGAAUUCGUCAACAUAUGAAGGGAGACUAGAUUAUGUACAAGGAAAUGACCGUGUGAAUUUCAAUGGACAAAAGUCAUCAUAAUCUUCCCCCCGCCCCCAAACACAAACCCACCACAAAUCCACCCUUCAAACUGUUAUUCUAGCUAAAUAGACCAAAAAUAUCGGCUGUAGAAUCAAAUAAGGCCAUAAUUAAAAGAUGAUCGAUUGCAAACAAUUUGCUACCGUUUUGUAUUGGUCAAUACUUAUCAUAGCGACAUUUUGGUAGAGAGCAGUUAGCUACAAGUUUUAAGGAUUGGCAAAAGCAACUCACGUAGAGGAAAACAUAAUAAUGAUUUGUUUGGAUAGGGUAUUAUUUGAAAUAAUUACUGUAGCACUUUUUGUGAUGUGAUAUAUGUAAGAUAAAAAGGUGGUUGGAAAUAUAAAAAAGUGGGUUGAAAAAUGUGUUUAUGAUGCAAGCGAAAUAUUAUUUGAGAUAAUAGUACGCUAUCCAAAAGAAGAUAUGGAGGCCCUGUAUUAUUGCACCAACAAAGCAGAAUUAAAAGAAAGAAAUGAAUAAGAAAAAGCGAGCAAGAGGAGCUCUGGUGUAUGCGUGAAUUAAUUAAGUGUUAACUAACAAUGGUGAAGUUUCCUUGGAAACACAAACAUGUUAAUUACCAAAAAAAACAAAAGGGCCCUGCCUCCCCAAGCUAUAUUAUCAGUGUGCGCAGACUGACGCGAAGAUAAUGCCCGAGGCCUGUGCUUGCCGAUCAUAGUUGCAAAUCAAACAAGUUAUAAGAGUCCACCAGCCAAGUGUAGGUUGCUUGAGAAGACCUCUAGAAGAUAGCCAUUGGAUCGCGACCAUAUUCCAUGACAAGACCUUGAGGGAUAACAUCUACUCUUGGCUCCCUGCAGCAAGAACGCCGAAUCAGAAACCGGAGAUAAUGGCACGUCGCAAGUAAAAAAGUAACAGAUAAUACCUCUAGCAUUCAAGUUAUUUUACAAAAUAUGGGAAAUAUGGAGAGAAAACACUUACAAAGGAAUUGUUUAUUUCACAAGAAUGCACCUUGCUGGUCCUGCCUCUGCCAGCACCCUUAACGGUAAACAGUAGACCGUGUAGCGUCCUGGUUCAACCUCGUCAAGUUUCAAGUUUUCGACUGGAAUAAUGCCCUAGUGAUUCAGCCACAUUAGUCACACUACUAACUAUAGAACAUGCUUGAGGAAUUCUCCCAUCCUCAAGAAAUUCACCAAGUAAAUGGCUCAACAGACUCAAUGUUGAGAACAGAAGCAUAGUGUGUGAUAUGACCUGUGGUUGAAAGUUUGCACAAGUUGGAGUAGGAAAUUGUGGAUUCAUAAAAUCUUUCAAGCAACUUAUUAAUGCAUUAGUACCAAUUAUGAAGCAAAAAGGGCAUCAGAAACCAGUACAGUCCAUCAUGGUCAUAGCAGUGAAGAUAUCCUUAUUCGAAUUGAGGUUUAUUUAUAAGAUGAAGAAUUUUCCUAGAAGUGAUUUCACUAUUUUUACUUAAUGCACUGCUCAUGACAUAAGAGGACAAAGUGGCAGGAGCUCUUUCUUUGGGGGAGGAGGUUUGCUUAAGCUUUGUACAAUGAACCGCCAGAAAAGUUCUUUCAUGCUUUAAAUACAUUGGCUCAAACCCUUUGAAGACAUCGAUGUAAAAAACAUGUUUUUUUUUUUGGCCAAUUUGGUAUUAAGUUCAUGAAUUUCAGCUCAGAAACCUUGUCUUCUUAGGGCGCCCAUUAAUUCAACAAUGUGCGCUAAAUGUUUUUGGGGAGAGCAAGGGAAUUUCACUCACUAAUAUGGACAUGGGGCAGAUGAAGUUGUAUCAGGUUGUUGUAUUCUUACAAUAUUUGGUGUACACAUAUAUAAACAAUUUUACUUUAAGUAACAAAAUUCAACACUUUGGCAGGGAAAAGAAAAGGAACAGAAAAAAAAUUCACAUGUAGAACAAUAAGGGUACCUCAAAACAUGUAACAAAUAUAAUAACUGUACACAACUUCAUCUAACAUAACCGUACCUGUCCCCAUUCUUAGUAAUGUGACCUUAGCAAAAAUAAGUUAUUUGCCAUGCUGAUAUCUUUUAGCUGACGGUUUCGUAGGGACUCAAAUCAAGACUGGAUGAAGAAUAGAAGAAACAUAACCUUACCCUGGAUGCUCCUAAGAAGAUUUUGUGAACACCGACAAUUUGAUCUUCUACAGCAACAGACAUGUAAUCAAUUCCUACAAUUGAUGAUGACAACAUAAUUUAGCAAAAUCACGAUACAGCAAAACUAGUAUAAGCUUUUCAAUCACAUAGAUAAACAAAAGAAAAGGAGCUUAUUAAAUGAUACACAACAAUCAUAAAGGAAAAGGAAAAUAGAAAUCACACAAAGAACAAAAGAAAAAAACAACCACAUGCAAAAUUUCAUCUCAAAUCUCUACUCUUUAAGGUAUGCUCAAUAUAAGGUGGAAUCUAGUCUUAUCAACAUUGAGGCCUAUAUUCACUUAUCUUUUUUGGUACAUAUAUUCAUUUUAUCUUUUGAGUUGGCUCUACAUUUAGGUCAUAUAUUCACUGGUAAAAUAUAGAAGAUUAUCAUAACAUAACAUAGAUUUAAAUCCCGUUGUCAUGUAAAAUAUUUACACCAUCAAAAAGUAAGAAAUCAAUUUGCAAUUACAGAAACCAUUCUAAAUUCCUCUAUGAGCAAUGUUUAAGUCAGGCAUACGCAUGGUAACUAAAUUCCGUUCUUUGACUCACCAACAAAUGUGACAUCAGUCUUGUGAACCAAUCUCUGUGCCCCACCUACCGUAAAUCCUGUAAAAUUUCCUUCAAACUUUUGUUGAUCCAUCAGCUUCCUAAAAAAUGCAAUCAGUUCAGAUAAACACUCAAUUAAUCAAAUGGCGGACCUUGUCUACUCCGAACGGUAUUUUGAUGUAGCAGUCACAAUUGAAGACACUCAAAGCACUACUUGUGAAACAUGAUAUAAAUGCUUGAAAAGAAUGAAAGUCUUUGAUCAUGUGAGUCCCACAAUAAUAAUACAGAUUGGCAUGAAGAAGCAAAUUUGACAUACAAAAUUACAUUUCUGAGAGGAUUUCUUACACCACAUAUCAACACAAAAGUGUCUUUUAACACAAGUAAUGAGGGGUACUGCAUGCAUAGAACAUUAUGUGACUUGAACAUCAUCUGAUAUAGUCUCCAUGAUGCAAAUGGAAAAUUGUGAAUUUCAUUAUGAUCAGAUUUACUAAGAGUAAGGUUCAGCAGAUCAAGUUCAAGCUCUUCAUCUAACUCUACCUGUAAGUGUUUUGUGUCUUAAAAAUUACACGCUUUACUCCUCUAGGAAUUUUCAAAGAGUCAAUGACAUGACCUGUAAGAAGCCAAUAAUCAUAAGAUAAGCCAUCAGUGGUGUCUAAAAACAUUAAACCAAACAAAUAGAAAACAUUUCAGGAAGCAAUAAAGCACCUUCUUUAAUGCACAUAAGACAUUGUUGUGUCAGACAUUAACAAGAAAUGUCAAGGAACCAACUAAGCCUUAUUGGAUCACUGGAAAUGCUUGGGAAUCAUAAUCAAGGCCAAUUGUAAAGCAAUACAUAGCAGAUAAAUUAUCUUCAAAAAAGCAGCCAAAGAUAGAAUUAAAACUUGAGCUAGCGACGGAUAUUUUGUACAUCCAACAAUUCCUUCACUACUAUUAUAAAACACCUAAUGAACAAUUAAAGUCGUGUGUAAGAUCAAGGCAUUUUUUUUUUCGAAAGUAUUAUCUACUUGUUGGGACAAACACUUUGGACGAAUAAAAAAGAAGCGAAUUGAAAAAUUGAGAGAAUGUAAAUGCAUUGCACAUGAAUGUCAUCAUCAACAGCAGAGAUGCCACAAACGAUUGGAAUUAGGUCCCAUAAUGGAAUGGUAUCAAGAAAGAAAAUUUUCUAAUCAUUUUAAUGAACUCUUUAUUCAAGAAAUUCCCUUUGGUCCCAAUCACACUUUCGCAAAACAUAAGCCUUCAACUAUGGCUGUUUGAAUUCAGAGACAAAAAGAUACUUCAUAAGCCUUCAAAUCUGGUAGCAGUUAAUACAACGCGAUCAUUAAUUCCCCAUCAUCUACGUAACAAGCAUAAAAUUGGCCAAUUCAAUAAAUAAAUAUUGCAUUUGUUGCAACCAUGUUGCUAAUAUACACAAAAACAUUUGAACUCUAGAAACUAAAUGAAGGAUUUCACCAAAGAGUUAAGCCUACUAAUAUGUGGCCAUUCUCCCAGAUGAUGAAAUUAGCAUUAAUUGUACACGCGUAAGAUAGGUAGGAAUGAGAAAGCAACCAUAAGUUCGGUACACGAUAUAAUGUUUUUAAAAAAGGACGCAAAAUUACUGGUGCGCAAAUAAAAAAAGGGAAGGAAAAAACUAAAAGAGUUGUUAUAACCAAAAAGAACACGUAGUACUUUAGAAAUGCAUACCAGUUAUAUUUACACCAUUUGGAGUCUGAACGACCAAAACAGGACCUGUAAAAGAAGUUUAGACAACUUGCUACCAGAAAUACUGCAAUUUACUACCAAAAAUUAGCAAAACAAAGGAACAGAAACUAUUAAGGUGAGCUGACAGAGAAGGUUGUUAUUGUACCCACAAGAGUUGAGAGGUUGAGGGAAUCGACGGUAACGUGGUGAAGUAACUGCUCCGGGAAAAUGUGUGAAGGGGAAUCAACAUGGGUGCCAUAAUGAGUGCCGAUAUUGAGAAUACCAUCCAUAUAAGGGCCACCAAAGAUUUCAGUUGUUAAAUUCCGAGCACCGGUCACAGAACCAAAGGUGGCCAUGCCAUUCCUCAUUGUUCGAGAAAUAUCAAUGAUGAUGCGGUCAUCAAAAUCUGCAGGGAUGGGGGCGGCGGCAGCUGCCACGGCGGGGAUGGUGAGGAAACCAUUACGUGCUGCAGCCACGAUGGCAAUUAUGUUGAUCCAACAUGAAAAUAUCAUUUUCAUGUUUUUUGGUUAUAUUAAACCUCUGCGGUGGCUUCUGAGGAGUGAUUCUCCUUAAGUUUUGUAAACCCAGAACCCUUUUGUUGUGGGGAGGGGAGGGGAGGAGAGAGGAGAGACUGGGAGAUGGUAGGAAAGAAGAUAGGGUUUUUAAAGCGAGGUAGCCUAAACAAAUAUCUCCGGUCAUGCCAGAUGUGUUGUUGGAAUGACGGAUGACCGAUGCGGAUGCCAUAAUGGUUUGGCGGAAGCAAACGCGGUUCCAGUGGAGACGGCGAAUCCAGAUGCAGACAACGGAGAGAGGUAAAGACGGAAGUACGGAUCCAAGGACUCAGGAAGACUAAAAUUUAGGUUCCAGAGCAAAUUUUAAUUAACAGACAAUUUUGCCCCUCUUUAGUUAACAACUGACCAUUCCUUGAUUAAAAGAAAUUUUAGGCUUCGUUUCGGAGUUGAGGAUUUGGACAGAAAAGAAAAGAAAAGAAGAGAAAGUUUAAGGUUGUGUUUGGAUUGCAUUUUUCGUGAUUUUUCAUGGAAAAAUUACUGUAGCAAUUUGAUGUAUGUGAGGGAAAAAGGUAAUAGGGAAAUGUGAUCACGGAAAACGACGUAAUUUUUCGACGGAAACCGGCAAUCCAAACAAGGCCAGUUUUUCUUUAUUUUGUGAGUUUUUAAUAGGGAUAAUUUCAGAUACCUCCCCUGAGGUUUCUGACAGUUUCACUCCCCUCCCCUGUGGUUUCAAUAAUACCACAAACCUCUCUUGUCAGAUUGUGAGGUCCCAUUUCUUACGUUAUUGGUGCCAAAAAGACUUAAAUACCCUCACAAGUUUGCUAAUAUUUCAUGAUUAUUUGGAAAAUUUUAGUUAAGUUAGUUAUAAACACAAUUAAUGUAAUUAACGAAAAAUUAGAGUCCUAACAACCAAUAUAGAAAGGGACCUUCAGCAAAAUAGCGCCAAACUUAGGCGCCAUGGUCUGAUUGACAUAACAGCUUGAUAGGCACGUACAUAUAGAAGCAAGAAACUUACUUUGUUCCCGCCAUUGUUGAGAUAUAGCAACUGAGGUUGAUGGUUGGCAAACAAAGCUCUUGAUUCUCGUUAAGAAAGCUCUUGGCAAACAAACUGAAGAGUCUCUUAGCUCAUUAAGAAAAAUUUACCAGGUAAGUGUUUAAGAUUUCGUAUUCCAUUUCAAUAUGAUAUUGGCAGCUUAUGAUGAUUUGGUUAUUGUUUGUGUAAGCUUCAUACAUGUUUGCUUAUGAUUUUCUGGUUUGUCAUGUGACUUGGUUUGCUAAGCCUUUACCAGAUUUUGCUUACUUGAUUCUAAAUUUCUCGUCUGACUUGGGUUGUUUGAUAUAGUUAGAUGCCAAACCUCAGAUAGCAGCUUUCCAGCAUGAUUAUAUAACUGAAGGUUUCAUUUACUGAACUUUCGGUAUCCACUAGACAUGCAUGAAUUGUCCAAAUGUGUCUGCUUACUCUUAGACAAAAUAUUCUUACUUCUGUGGGAAAAACACAGAGUCAGGUAAUUUUUUUAAAACUAAUUCCAUACAGGUUUAGCCUCAGUGCCCUCUGUAUGUAGGCUUUGCUAACACGAGCCCAGAUCACUCAGAUAGCUUGAUUUCAAAGUAGUGAUCCAAUAAACAUCUUCAAUCAUUGCAUAGCACUGCAUUUGUGAUCCUUUGGAUAAACACCUGAAGAACUACUCACAAGAGCAAGUGGUGUUUUCUGAAGUGAGUUUGCGCCACGCUUACAGUUCCUUCUCCUUGUGAUUAUUUCAUCAGAUGUUUGUUCUUUCCACAUGAUCCCUUUCUGCAUCUCACUGUCAGGUCCUGGACUGGAAUAUGUUUCUAAUGUUUUGCGGAUGAUCUAACUUCUUUGAUGGAAAAAGGGGCGUAGCAGCUUUCCAGCAUGGUCAUAAGCGAAUAUUUCGUUUACUGAACUUCUGGUGUCCACAGUUAUGCAUUGUCCAAAUGUCUCCACUUUUAAGGCUAGAAUUGCUGUCAACUGAUAUACCUUUCUUCUGUGGGAAAACAACUAAAAGUCAGGUAACAUCUUUAGUAUAAUUUCUCAACAUUGUAAUUUGAUUUCAGAAGCAUAAAAUGAAGUCAAUGGUACAUAACAUGAACUAAAGUAGUGGACUGGGUUUAUUUUCUCAGAUUUAAUUAUUUUUGUUAAGCAAGGGAUGGCCAAGACUGUCCUCUACGAAAUUUCUAGACCAAACAGAAACUAUACAUGAAUAUCUAAAGAUGAACACAUACAAUAUAUUCUAGGGUAAUGAGCAAGUGUAUUGGAGCCGCCUUUUUGUGAUGGUGUUCAUAACUUUUUAUUUACCCAACACUGUCUUACUAAAUGGUCAUUCUGCUCAAGUUUUCUAGUGUCUCAUUGUUUUGUGUUCAUUUUUUACUUGUAUACACUUAUAAUAUUUUAACGGAAGAGAGCUGGAAACAUCCAGAUUCCAUGUCCAAAUAAUGAAUAUGUUUGUUAAAGUAAACAAGAUUUUUCAAGCUUCCCUGUAACAGCAAGAUUUUUUUGUUCUUGGGAAUAAAAUCAAUGAAAACUAGUUGAGUAACCAAAUAGUUGAGCUCCUAAUGGUUACCUUGCGAUUACAUCGACAGUAUCUAUUUCUAAUUGUAAAUGAUGUAGGUGAAUUCCAGAAUUCACCUCUGCUGCUUGAACUGGCCAUUUGUGUGUGUGUUUGUUGCUGCUGCAGUUCAUCCAACACCAAGCACUUCACUUGCAUCUCAGAAAUUAACAUUUGUUUGUUGCUGUUUGUUGCAUCUCUUGCUGCUGCAUUUUACUCUCAUAAAUAGCCUUCUGGACUGGCCGUUGCAUAUGGACGUUAGAACUAACUGCCAGAAAGAGCCGUUGCCUUCCAUUUUGUUCACUACUGAUGUUCAGACCUUAAUGAAUGCAUUGGUCUCACUUACACCCCUCCCAAGUUUCAUUCUUCUUAAAUUCCCUGUUUUUUCUUCACAUGAGAUUAGCUCAUUAACGCAAGAUAAUGGGGGCAUUUGUGGUAUACACUUGUUUCUCUCUGCAACUACUGAUUUUUUAUUGUUUGUAUUUUUAAAUUGGGUCUAUUUUGGCAUUGCCUAUCUAGUUUUAAGGGAGGGUUGUGGUAUUAUUGAAACCAUAGGGAAGGGGAGUGAAACUGUCAGAAACCUCAGGGGAGGUAUCUGAAAUUAUCCCUUUUUAAUAAGAAAAAAAAUAAAGGAAAUGAGAGGAUUCAAAAGGAUGAAUAAUAGGCAAAAAUUUUCCUUCUAAAUUGGUUGAAAAUAGAGAGAAAGUUUGAGGAAGUUUGUGAAAUUUUUUUAAAAUACCUAUUUUAUUUUUUAAAAAAUCUUGAACAAAUAUUUAAUAACUUCCAUAUUUAAAAUUAUUCUAUUAAUUCUCAAAACUCUCGAACAACAUAACAAUUCUCUCACUUUCCUUCUCUUCUCUCAUAAUUAGGCCUGUCAACGAGUCGGGUUCGGGCCGAAAUUGAUAAAUCUAGACCCGAACCCGUCAUACUGUAUUAAUUCCGGACUCGCCCAAAUACCCGACGGGUCUCUUAAUCUUUCUCCCGGAAUCGCACCCGCUGGGUCCCGGGUCCGGGUCAGGCCUACCCGGAUAAGGCCCGUCAAAAAGCCUAGUUUUGCUACAUCAUUAAAAUGGAACUUUGCUACUUCAUCAGCAUGAUCUGUGCAAUAAACUCCGAAUCAGAUCUGGGACACAGCUUUUUGACCAACAACUUGUAAGUUCGCAAGUUAAGUUUUGGUUCAAAACCUCUAUACUGACCAUACAAGGAACAAACCAAAAACUGAAAAAAAAAUAUUGAGAAAGCCAAACAAGCCCACAAAAUUAGAAGAUGCGAAUUUUUAGAAAAAGGAAAAUUUUUUUUUAAAAAAAUGGUUCUUUGUUCCGUAUAAACAACUCAUACCACAUCAAAACAAAACAAACCAAGGGGACCAUCAAAACAUGCAAAUCUCUUUAUCCGAACCCAAAGAAAGCAAAGAAUUUCACAACUUUUGCACACCAAACAUCGGAACUCUGAAACUCACACACACUGACAAAAGGAAGCAAAAGAAAGGAUGAUUUUGUGCCGGGGUAAAAAAGAGAAUCUGAACUAUAUUUUUACCUGAUUGGCAAAUCCAAUACCAAAACCAAGGAGAAUACGCCCGACAAUCAACAUCCAAACCUUCCGAGCAAAACCAUUGAGCAAAGCUCCAGCGAAAAAUAGAACUCCCCCGAAAAGCAUUGACAACUUUCUCCCUAUUUUUCUGGUCAUAGGUGAAGCCACAGGCAGAGCAAAACAAAAACUGCUAGAAGCCUGAAAGAGCUGGGCUUCUUUGGAGCUGCAACCGUCAGCGUCAGGUGUCAGAGAUGGAUUUGGCUUCGCCUGUUCCACGGCGGACUGGUGGGGGGCGGAGGCACAACGAAAGAGAAAAGAGAGUGAGAGGGAGAUGUGCGGCGGCAGGGUUAUUAGGGUUCGAAAAAUUGGGGAAUGAAAUACACAGUGUACGACUUUUGGUGAUUUAUUGGUAUAGUUUUUAAUUAUUAAUUAAUUAAAACGGGUUCGAAUCUAAUACGGGCCGGAGUUCCAUAUCCGACCUGUUUUUCUGUUAGAUAAAAUAGGUCCGGGUCUCGGUUCUAUAUACCUACCCAUACCCGAAAAAUGUUGGCAGGUCCGAUCCAGGUCCGGGUCCGGACCGUUGACAGCCCUACUCAUAACUUAAGCUUCUUCCCCCCUUCUCUUUUCUAUCCAAAACUCCCAAACUGAGAUUCCGUUUGAUAAAACUGAAUCUGAAUUUUGAAGUUUAAAUUCUGAAAUCUGAAUAUUGAAACAAUUAAUUUGCGAAAUUUUAAAUACUAAAAAAAAUUUAUGAAUGUCUGAAUUUUAAUACUAAACCUAUUUAUACUGUUGGAUAAACAUUUAUAACUGAAUGCUUAAUAAGUUAAAUUUGAUAAUUUUGCCCUUGUAUCUUUUCAUCCAAAAAAGAAAUAGAACCUAUGAUUUAAUUAGCUAAAAAUGUUAGGUAUGAAAAUGACAAUAUUUAUUUUUAAAUCAAAUUAAUAUAAAAGAUGAAUUAUAUUAUAUGAGGAGUAUGGAGAAUAAGUGAAAGUCAUUCAAAAGGGAGAAAAGAGAAAUAGAAAAUCAUUAGGUAGAGAAUAUUCGGUUGUUUAAUUAUAUAAGAAUUUUGAACAUAAUUAAUAAACAAGGGUAGAUUUGGUAGAUAAAAUAAGGUAAUUAAAGUAAUUCUAUUUAUUCUUAUCAGAAUUAAGCAUUCAUACACACAAGUUCAACACUACUUAAUAAGUUCAGCAAAUGAAUUUUCAUUUAUCAAACACUCAAAACAUGAAUGUCUGAAAAAGUUCAGAUUCAACAUUUUUUUAUGUUAUCAAACAGACCUUAAGCCAUAAGGUCCCCAUAGAGCCGUCCGCUCCUUCUCCCCGUCCAUCACGUCAAUGCGCCCCUCAUCGCUCCGUUACCGACUCAAACAUUUACGUUCCUCCUCCUCACCUACAAAUCAAAGAUGAAACCAAGGCCCAAUUUAACCCACUCAACCACUUCCUCGGCUUUGCUAUCAAAAGCCCUAAGGCAGCGAAUUCAGUUUUUUUUGUUUCCCUUUUCAUACUGAAAGUGAGGCGCCAACAAACAAUGAACGAAAUGGCUUCAGCGGAUACUUAUUAUUGUUCCUAUAUAAUUUGACGGUCACUCUUUUGUUUGUCUAUUCCUGCAUCAUGCUUGAUUUUUUAUUUUUACUUAGAAAUAUUCCAACCUUUCGAUCAGAUUAAUCUUCUAAAUCUGCAUAAAAUUUUACCUCCAAAAUAUACAGUGAGAUAGUACAAAAAAGCCGAUCACGAGACUUACUGAUAAUUACCAUACUACGAAACUAGUCUGAUUAGCUACGAGGAGCACAUCAUGCUUGAUUGAUUCAGUAAAAAUGUUGACUGAAAGUUGGGGACAAUUGGUAAAUCAAAGUAAGGGACAUUUGCGUCACUGAUGCGUGCAAAGUACUGAUUCGACUUGGAUAGGAAUUAUUUGUCAAAAAAUUAUACGGUGAAUAGGAAUUAUUUAUUUGCAUCGUAAUCAUAUUUUUUAACACAAUUUUUUAUUUUUUUAAUAUUGAUACACUCUCUGGUAUCCACGCAUGUGGAUAAUAAUUUUUGAUGAUGUGGCAUCCACAUAAAUAUCAAACCCAAAAAACAAAAAAAAAAUCAUGGGUUUGAGGGUGUGAAAUUCAAGUCUACUCUCCCUCCUCCAUCACUCUCCCUCCUACAAUCCUCUUCCAUUAUUUCUCUCUAUCGCUUUGCUAUAAUAAACUCUUAACAAUUGGAGAAGCCACAUGAGAGAAUAUUCAAAUCAUUUCCGGAAAAAAUUUAAUUUGAUUUAAAUAUAUUUCAAUUUUCAACCGCUCAUUAAUUUCAACUCUAUCAUCCCAUCCCAUUCCCAUAUGAGCGAAGCAGUAAACCCAUCCUUAUGAAACUGAGCAACACUUAAAUUAUAGAACCGAUGAUUACGUUUGUUGUAGUAUCUUGAUAAAAAGGCUUUAUGGUCUUCAAAAUCCCCUCACUUUGAUAUUUUAUGACAACAACUGGUCAGGCUCAUGGCUGCUCUCUUUUAGGUAAAGCCAAUAGUGGCGGAGGUGUGAGAGGAGGGUUGUCAGAGUGGUUGAAAGAGAGUAGAGAAGAUAAUAACAGUACUGAUGUUGAUAGAGAUGUUGGGUAAAUUGGUCUUUAAACGCUGACACAUAGGAUCGGAUAAUCUUGCUCAACGCAGUCCGAAGAUAGAAUAUCAUUUCCCAUCAUUUCUUUAUUUUACAUAUAUCACAUCGCAAGUAAUUAUUUCAAUAACAUCCUAUCCAAUCAUUAUUACCCAUAGCAAAUUAUAUAUUCCGCUCACACCGUCUUCCUGACAAGCAUUUCUAGUACAAAUGACAAAUGAUAUUACACCUCCGUGCAGCACUGAUCCUCCGCAUGUCCACCCACUCUCAAGUAUCCUUAGCC
Molecule: long non-coding RNA, 18316 nt
Filed under: Coffea arabica (coffee)
Lineage: Eukaryota; Viridiplantae; Streptophyta; Magnoliopsida; Gentianales; Rubiaceae
Description: long non-coding RNA (CARA_LNC001637)
Source: RNAcentral